ACGCUGGCGGCAGGCCUAACACAUGCAAGUCGAACGGUAACAGGAAGCAGCUUGCUGCUUCGCUGACGAGUGGCGGACGGGUGAGUAAUGUCUGGGAAACUGCCUGAUGGAGGGGGAUAACUACUGGAAACGGUGGCUAAUACCGCAUAACGUCGCAAGACCAAAGAGGGGGACCUUCGGGCCUCUUGCCAUCAGAUGUGCCCAGAUGGGAUUAGCUUGUUGGUGAGGUAACGGCUCACCAAGGCGACGAUCCCUAGCUGGUCUGAGAGGAUGACCAGCCACACUGGAACUGAGACACGGUCCAGACUCCUACGGGAGGCAGCAGUGGGGAAUAUUGCACAAUGGGCGCAAGCCUGAUGCAGCCAUGCCGCGUGUAUGAAGAAGGCCUUCGGGUUGUAAAGUACUUUCAGCGGGGAGGAAGGUGUUGUGGUUAAUAACCRCAGCAAUUGACGUU
RNAcentral lists this ribosomal RNA (454 nucleotides) under Salmonella enterica subsp. enterica serovar Livingstone. RNAcentral describes it as "bacterial SSU rRNA". It matches the Rfam family "Bacterial small subunit ribosomal RNA", at positions 33 to 476 of the family's 1533-position model. The record is from RNAcentral. Lineage: Bacteria; Pseudomonadati; Pseudomonadota; Gammaproteobacteria; Enterobacterales; Enterobacteriaceae.